AUUGAACGCUGGCGGCAGGCUUAAUACAUGCAAGUCGAGGGGCAGCGCAGUGUAGCAAUACAUGGGCGGCGACCGGCAAACGGGUGCGGAACACGUACGCAACCUUCCUUUAAGUGGGGGAUAGCCCAGGGAAACUUGGAUUAAUACCCCGUAAUAUUAUGAAGUGGCAUCACUUUAUACUUAUAGCUCCGGCGCUUAAAGAUGGGCGUGCGACUGAUUAGGUAGUUGGCGGGGUAACGGCCCACCAAGCCUGCGAUCAGUAACUGGUGUGAGAGCACGACCAGUCACAAGGGAACGUAGACACGGGCCCGACUUGUACGGGCAGCAGCAGUAAGGAAUAUUGGUCAAUGGACGAAAGUCUGAACCAGCCAUGCCGCGUGGAGGAUGAAGGUCCUCUGGAUUUUAAACUUCUUUUAUUUGGGAAGAAACCCACUGUUGCUACGGUGGUUGACGGUACCAGAUGAAUAAGCACCGACUAACUCCGUGCCAGCCGCCGCGGUAA
Molecule: ribosomal RNA, 502 nt
Filed under: uncultured bacterium
Lineage: Bacteria
Description: partial 16S ribosomal RNA
Rfam family: Bacterial small subunit ribosomal RNA
Source: RNAcentral